GACGUAGGGUGCGAGCGUUGUCCGGAUUUAUUGGGCGUAAAGAGCUCGUAGGCGGUUCGUCGCGUCGGCUGUGAAAACCCGGAGCUCAACUCCGGGCCUGCAGUCGAUACGGGCGGACUUGAGUGUUGCAGGGGAGACUGGAAUUCCUGGUGUAGCGGUGAAAUGCGCAGAUAUCAGGAGGAACACCGGUGGCGAAGGCGGGUCUCUGGGCAACUACUGACGCUGAGGAGCGAAAGCGUGGGGAGCGAACAGG
This 253-nucleotide ribosomal RNA is filed under the name uncultured bacterium. RNAcentral's name for it is "partial 16S ribosomal RNA". It matches the Rfam family "Bacterial small subunit ribosomal RNA", at positions 524 to 776 of the family's 1533-position model. The record is from RNAcentral.